GAAGUAAAAAUGAUAGGGAGUCGUGGGUCCAGCCGCGUUCAGAGCACGAGAGGCUCUGGGAGCUCAGUGAGGCUGCAGGCGCCUGCGGCCACCGGCGAACAAGAUAGGCUGCUCUGGCUUGGGACCCCUAGGCAGGACCACCAUCCUCUCCAGAAUGAAGACCCUGCUGGUGCUGCUGGCUGCCCUUCUGGGUGUUGAGUGAGCCAGCUCACUGAUGUGCUUCUCCUGCCUAAACCAGAAGAGCAAUCUGUACUGCCUGAAGCCCACCAUCUGCUCCGACCAGGACAACUACUGCCUGACGGUGACUGCGUACGCUGGCAUCAGAAAGAUCGUCACAUUUGGCCACACCCUGAGCCAGUCCUGUUCCCCAGCCUGUCCCCUCCCAGGAAACAUCAAUACUGGUAUAGCUUCCAUGGCCAUCCGCUGCUGCCAGGGUUUCCUGUGCAAUUUCAGCGCAACCGACGGCAGGCUGCGGCCCAGCGCCACCCUGCUGGGUGCCGUACUGCUGCUGAGCCUGUUGCCUGCCCUGCUGCGUUUCGGCCCCUGACCGCCCAGAUCCUGUCCCCGGCCCCCUAGCUCAGGAAGCAAAGCCCAGCCCUUUCUGGAUCCCACAAAGAUCUGAGAGCCCCUGACUCCUCACGUGCCUGAUUCGUGCCCUUGGUCCCAGGUCAGGCCCACCCCCUGCACCUCCACCUGCCCCAGCCCUGCCUCUGCCCCAGGUGGGGCCACCUGCCCUCACUUCUGGGGUCGAUGAUGUGACCUUCCUUGGGGGACUGUGGAAGAGAUGAGGGUCCCCUGGAGUCUUAGGGUCCAGCGUCAGGACCAAGUCUCGUGGACAUACAGAGAGAGCCCCCAGGGAGGCUGUGCCAGUAGAGAUGUGUGCCCGUGGGGGGUACGUGGGUGU
Molecule: RNA transcript, 904 nt
Organism: Cebus imitator (Panamanian white-faced capuchin)
Lineage: Eukaryota; Metazoa; Chordata; Mammalia; Primates; Cebidae
Gene name: lymphocyte antigen 6E-like
Exons: 1
Source: RefSeq, a predicted model, not a curated record